GACGAACGCUGGCGGCGUGCUUAACACAUGCAAGUCGAACGGAAAGGCCCUGCUUUUGUGGGGUGCUCGAGUGGCGAACGGGUGAGUAACACGUGAGUAACCUGCCCUUGACUUUGGGAUAACUUCAGGAAACUGGGGCUAAUACCGGAUAGGAGCUCCUGCUGCAUGGUGGGGGUUGGAAAGUUUCGGCGGUUGGGGAUGGACUCGCGGCUAUCAGCUUGUUGGUGGGGUAGUGGCUUACCAAGGCUUUGACGGGUAGCCGGCCUGAGGGGGUGACCGGCCACAUUGGGACUGAGAUACGGCCCAGACUCCUACGGGAGGCAGCAGUGGGGAAUAUUGCACAAUGGGCGGAAGCCUGAUGCAGCAACGCCGCGUGCGGGAUGACGGCCUUCGGGUUGUAAACCGCUUUCGCCUGUGACGAAGCGUGAGUGACGGUAAUGGGUAAAGAAGCACCGGCUAACUACGUG
RNAcentral lists this ribosomal RNA (467 nucleotides) under uncultured bacterium. Its description in RNAcentral is "partial 16S ribosomal RNA". It matches the Rfam family "Bacterial small subunit ribosomal RNA", at positions 28 to 507 of the family's 1533-position model. The record is from RNAcentral.